UGUGAAAUCCGGCCGGGCGAUGGUUGUCCCGGUCUAAGCAACAAGCCGUUGACGGUGGCAGGCAAAUCCACCACCGGAGGUAAGUUGUUACAGCGAGUGGAGCUACGGCGAAGCGAAGCGGACGUAAUCACGGUGCCGGGAAAUACUGUCUAAGGCUAGGUUAUAGAAGACCGUACCGUAAUCCGACACAGGUAGGUGGGAUGAGAAAUCUAAGGCGCUCGAGAGAACUCGCGUUAAGGAACUCGGCAAAAUGCACACGUAACUUCGGAAGAAGUGUGGCCCCUGUUUGGUUAAAGAGUGGGGGUGGCACAGAGCAGGCCCAGGCGACUGUUUAUCAAAAACACAGCCAUCUGCGAAUCAGCAAUGAGACGUAUAGGUGGUGACACCUGCCCGGUGCUGGAAGGUUAAGAGGAGCGGUUCGAGGUAACUCAAAGCUGUGAAUCGAAGCCCCAGUAAACGGCGGCCGUAACUAUAACGGUCCUAAGGUAGCGAAAUUCCUUGUCGGGUAAGUUCCGACCCGCACGAAUGGUGUAACGAUUCUGGGCACUGUCUCAACGCGAGACUCGGUGAAAUUUAUAUACCGGUAAAGAAGCCGGUUACCCACAGUUAGACGGAAAGACCCCGUGAACCUUCACCGUAACUUAUUAUUGGAUCUUGGUGUAGCAUGUGUAGCAUAGGUGGGAGACUACGAGACGUGGCCGUUAGGUUGCGUGGAGUCGACCAGUGAAAUACCACCCUUGCUACAUCAGGUUUCUAACCUAAUCCGUGAAUCCGGGUUGGGGACAAUGAUAGGUGGGCGGUUUGACUGGGGCGGUCGCCUCCUAAAGAGUAACGGAGGUGCGCGAAGGUCUCCUCGCGCUGGUUGGAAAUCAGCGUACGAGUGUAAAGGCACAAGGAGGCUUGACUGCGAGACUGACAGGUCGAGCAGGUACGAAAGUAGGUCUUAGUGAUCUGGCGGUAGCGAGUGGAAGCGCCGUCACUUAACGGACAAAAGGUACUCCGGGGAUAACAGGCUGAUUUUCCCCAAGAGUUCACAUCGACGGGAAAGUUUGGCACCUCGAUGUCGGCUCAUCGCAUCCUGGGGCUGAAGCAGGUCCCAAGGGUUUGGCUGUUCGCCAAUUAAAGCGGUACGUGAGCUGGGUUCAGAACGUCGCGAGACAGUUCGGUCCCUAUCUGCUGUGGGCGUUGGAUGAUUGAGAGGAGCUGCAUUUAGUACGAGAGGACCGAUGUGGACGAACCUCUGGUGUACCUGUUGUUCUGCCAAGAGCACGUGCAGGGUAGCUAAGUUCGGAAGGGAUAACCGCUGAAGGCAUCUAAGUGGGAAGCCCACCUCAAGAUAAAUCAUCCCUGGGGGUUCGACCCCCCUAAAGACUCCAGAGAGACUAUCUGGUUGAUAGGCUGCAGGUCUACGCACGGUAACGUGUUCAGCCGAGCAGUACUAAUAGGUCGUGAGGCUUGACC
Molecule: ribosomal RNA, 1461 nt
Filed under: metagenome
Description: bacterial LSU rRNA
Rfam family: Bacterial large subunit ribosomal RNA
Source: RNAcentral